AAGGGAGCAUCCUAUAGCUCUCCUAUAACUGUUCUGAGACCAGUGCAGACAGACAGCACACUGGAGGUUAAGUCAUGCACUAAAUAAGGAGCAAGGGAGCAUCCUAUAGCUCUCCUAUAACUGUUCUGAGACCAGUGCAGACAGACAGCACACUGGAGGUUAAGUCAUGCACUAAAUAGGGAGCAAGGGAGCAUCCUAUAGCUCUCCUAUAACUGUUCUGAGACCAGUGCAGACAGACAGCACACUGGAGGUUAAGUCAUGCACUAAAUAGGGAGCAAGGGAGCAUCCUAUAGCUCUCCUAUAACUGUUCUGAGACCAGUGCAGACAGACAGCACACUGGAGGUUAAGUCAUGCACUAAAUAGGGAGCAAGGGAGCAUCCUAUAGCUCUCUAUGCAGUUAAGUGCG
Xyrauchen texanus (razorback sucker) is the source of this 406-nucleotide long non-coding RNA. RefSeq lists it as uncharacterized. The record is from RefSeq and is a predicted model, not a curated record. The transcript is spliced from 3 exons. Lineage: Eukaryota; Metazoa; Chordata; Actinopteri; Cypriniformes; Catostomidae.